Molecule: ribosomal RNA, 432 nt
Filed under: uncultured Polynucleobacter sp.
Lineage: Bacteria; Pseudomonadati; Pseudomonadota; Betaproteobacteria; Burkholderiales; Burkholderiaceae
Description: bacterial SSU rRNA
Rfam family: Bacterial small subunit ribosomal RNA
Source: RNAcentral
AAAGCUCUUUUGUCAGGGAAGAAACACCGGCUCUAACACAGUCCGGGAAUGACGGUACCUGAAGAAUAAGCACCGGCUAACUACGUGCCAGCAGCCGCGGUAAUACGUAGGGUGCGAGCGUUAAUCGGAAUUACUGGGCGUAAAGCGUGCGCAGGCGGUUAUACAAGACAGGCGUGAAAUCCCCGGGCUUAACCUGGGAAUGGCGCCUGUGACUGUAUAGCUAGAGUGUGUCAGAGGGGGGUAGAAUUCCACGUGUAGCAGUGAAAUGCGUAGAUAUGUGGAGGAAUACCAAUGGCGAAGGCAGCCCCCUGGGAUAACACUGACGCUCAUGCACGAAAGCGUGGGGAGCAAACAGGAUUAGAUACCCUGGUAGUCCACGCCCUAAACGAUGCUGACUAGUUGUUCGGGAUUUACAUCCUGAGUAACGUAGCU